AUUGAACGCUGGCGGCAUGCCUUACACAUGCAAGUCGAACGGCAGCACGGGGCAACCUGGUGGCGAGUGGCGAACGGGUGAGUAAUGCAUCGGAACGUGCCAUUGAGUGGGGGAUAACGUAGCGAAAGUUGCGCUAAUAUCGCAUAUUCUGUGAGCAGGAAAGCAGGGGACCGCAAGGCCUUGCGCUCUUUGAGCGGCCGAUGUCAGAUUAGCUAGUUGGUGAGGUAACGGCUUACCAAGGCGACGAUCUGUAGCGGGUCUGAGAGGAUGAUCCGCCACACUGGAACUGAGACACGGUCCAGACUCCUACGGGAGGCAGCAGUGGGGAAUUUUGGACAAUGGGCGCAAGCCUGAUCCAGCCAUGCCGCGUGAGUGAAGAGGGCC
This 384-nucleotide ribosomal RNA is filed under the name uncultured bacterium. RNAcentral describes it as "bacterial SSU rRNA". It matches the Rfam family "Bacterial small subunit ribosomal RNA", at positions 30 to 416 of the family's 1533-position model. The record is from RNAcentral.